GAUGAACGCUGACAGAAUGCUUAACACAUGCAAGUCUACUUGAACUUCGGUUUGGGUGGCGGACGGGUGAGUAACGCGUAAAGAACUUACCUCACAGUUAGGGACAACAUUUGGAAACGAAUGCUAAUACCUGAUAUUAUGAUUUUAGGGCAUCCUAAGAUUAUGAAAGCUAUAUGCGCUGUGAGAGAGCUUUGCGUCCCAUUAGCUAGUUGGAGAGGUAACGGCUCACCAAGGCGAUGAUGGGUAGCCGGCCUGAGAGGGUGAACGGCCACAAGGGGACUGAGACACGGCCCUUACUCCUACGGGAGGCAACAGUGGGGAAUAUUGGACAAUGGACCAAAAGUCUGAUCCAGCAAUUCUGUGUGCACGAUGACGUUUUUCGGAAUGUAAAGUGCUUUCAGUUGGGAAGAAAAAAAUGACGGUACCAACAGAAGAAGUGACGGCUAAAUACGUG
RNAcentral lists this ribosomal RNA (454 nucleotides) under uncultured bacterium. RNAcentral describes it as "partial 16S ribosomal RNA". It matches the Rfam family "Bacterial small subunit ribosomal RNA", at positions 28 to 507 of the family's 1533-position model. The record is from RNAcentral.